GUGGGGAAUAUUGCACAAUGGGCGAAAGCCUGAUGCAGCGACGCCGCGUGAGCGAAGAAGUAUUUCGGUAUGUAAAGCUCUAUCAGCAGGGAAGAUAAUGACGGUACCUGACUAAGAAGCACCGGCUAAAUACGUGCCAGCAGCCGCGGUAAUACGUAUGGUGCAAGCGUUAUCCGGAUUUACUGGGUGUAAAGGGAGCGCAGGCGGUGCGGCAAGUCUGAUGUGAAAGCCCGGGGCUCAACCCCGGUACUGCAUUGGAAACUGUCGUACUAGAGUGGCGGAGGGGUAAGUGGAAUUCCUAGUGUAGCGGUGAAAUGCGUAGAUAUUAGGAGGAACACCAGUGGCGAAGGCGGCUUACUGGACGAUAACUGACGCUGAGGCUCGAAAGCGUGGGGAGCAAACAGGAUUAGAUACCCGAGUAGUCC
RNAcentral lists this ribosomal RNA (425 nucleotides) under uncultured bacterium. RNAcentral's name for it is "partial 16S ribosomal RNA". It matches the Rfam family "Bacterial small subunit ribosomal RNA", at positions 354 to 796 of the family's 1533-position model. The record is from RNAcentral.